GACACAAAUUUCCCUCACUCUUCUCUAAAAUUAACUCUCAUUUUUUUUUUUGCCGCCGUCUCUCUCCAAACCAUCACAAAACAAGCGUCGUCGUCUCCCUCUACCUUCCUCUUCCCCAAUUUUUCUCUCAAACCCUAUCUUCUUCCUCUUCCCCAAUUUUUCACAAUGCAUGCACUCCCCAUUCUCCACCACUGCGCGAGUCCUCGCUCCACCAAGCUCCAUACGAUAGCCAUUCGUGCACCGCAGAUGUUCCUGCAUGGCCGAUCACCGAACGUUCUCGCACCACGGACGAAAAAUGUUCCACCACAGACGUUCGUGCACGGGUGGUUUCCAAACAUCGAGGCCGCCCCAACUUCGCUCCACCACGUACGACUGAGGACUAGUACAGACCUUCUUGUUCCACCACGCACGACUGAGGAUUUGCUCACUAAGGUUCUGUCACCGUCUUGGAAUUCCAGAUAGCGAAUAACAUACUUAAUCACAUGUUGAUUUCUUGGAAUACCUUAAGGUUUUCCUUUUCUUGCUGCGAUGUUAAGAAUGGAAAUUAAAUUAGUAUUUUCUCAUUGUAGUGAAGCAGGUUUAUAGUUGAUAGUAAAUAACAUUUUAUUAAAAGUUAUACGUGGAUUUUUGUUUUCUUUCUAUUUUGGAACAAAUCUUCCAUUGAUGUGGCUCGGAUUGGAACAGUGUUUUUUUCGAUUCAUGAUUUUGUUAUAUAGUCUCAUCGUGUUCGUGAUUCGAUUCGUAUGGUUGAUUGUUUGGGUGAAUGGUUGAUUCCAAAGCCACGUUAAUAGUGAUGCAACCGGUGAUUCCAAAGCGACUUCAUUGAAGGCCAACUGGUCAAAAGAAGCAUGCAGUGAAACAAAAUUUUGUUUCUAUAAGAUGUGAGCAAAGUACCCAACAGAGUAAUCUGGAUGUUUGGCUUGGGCGGUUUGCAAUGGUGGGAUUUGCAAUUGCAAUUAGCGUUGAAAUUGCAACAUGCAAGGGACUUUUAUUUUCUACAAAAGCGUCCUUUGUACCACUUGGAGUAUUCCAUUUGAAGUGUUGAGUUUGUUUUAAAUAUGGGUCUUAAAGUGCAUCUAGAAUGUUACUUGAUUGUCGUGCAGUUGUAAAUAUCUGUAACUAUUAUUCGUUUUAAGAAAUUAUCCUUCUUAUUUCUAGAGAGAGCUACUUGGCCAAUAUCUCUCUUUAUCCAAAGAAGUUGGAGCUGCCAUUUCUUCCCUCAAAUACUCAGGUACUUUACUUAAUACUAUCCAGAUCACUGUUAGAUUUGUUCCUUUUUUCCAUUAUCUUAUCUUAGAAUUUUGUCAAGUCCUAAGAGGCAAAUUUUUGUUUUUGGAAAAUAAAAAAAAAAAAAAAAAAAAACUGCAUUUUUAGUACUUACAAUUUUUUUGAAGAAGGGCACUUGCCUUUACUUGUAAGAGGAACUAUAUGAUCUUUUCAUCAGAAACAAUUUUUUACUUUGUUCCUUCUUUUUUUAUUUUUUCUUACUACUACAUGCAAUUGGCUUCCACAUCUUUAUAGUUUUUUUCGAUUAUUAAGUAAUCAUAAAUUGAUCUUUAUUGAUUGUAGAUAUAUACACAUCAGUAUUGUUAAUGGCGUGAAAUAUUUGUUCUAUAGUUUCUCUUGGAAUAAUGUUUAAUGAGCGUGGGAUUUUAAGAUAGUGUGAUCAUCUUUAAUUUUAUAGUUUAAUCAUAUAUAGAUAUGAGUUGAUGUAAUAAAUUAGUAGAUUAUAGGUAGCUUCUAAUGUUUAUUUUUCAAUUGUUCAAUUUACUUAAUUCGACUUUUCUUUUCCUAAAAUACUAAUCUAUAUAUAUCGAUAUGCUUAUGAUGUGCUUCUAUUUGGUAUGCAGAUUAAUAUAUAUACUGUUCUAGUAAUCCAAGAAAUAGAGGUGUUAAUCUCCUCUUCAAAACUAAAAUCUAUAUGUUUAUUGGCUGUAACUUGUGAUGUGACUUUUAUGCUCUUAAUUCAUGAAUAUUAGAAAGGCUUAGAUCCAAAAGAAUAGCAGUGGCACUUGAGGUUAGCCUCAGUUGUGCUUUUCUGGUGCUCUUAGCGCUCAGAAUUCUUUGACACAGAAGAAAUCAAAGGACCAAAACCAUCUUAGACAUCAAUGGAGAGCAAGGCUAGUGUUGGCAUGUGAGAAACAUCUGGUAUUUGAUAGAAAAGGUUGAAAAGAAGUGAUCGAGUAGAUUGUUGAAGCAAGAGGCCUACACAGUGUUAGAAAAUUGAUUGAGACAAAUGGAUUGAUGAAGAUGAUAAAAAGAAGGUAAUUGUGAGUUGUUUUAACUUUUAAGAAUAUUUUCUUUUGGGAGAGUAUGUCUUCUCUUUACGUUUAGUUUUAGGAAUUAUUGUGUUUAUUUCGUAGUAAUGAGUAGUGGUUUAUUAUUUGAUGAUGAUGUUGGAUAUUGGUUCUGCCCUGAUGAAGUCUGUUGUUUAGCACUUUGUUUGUAUUGUUUUUCUUCCCUUAAUUUAGCACUUCGUCUCUUGAUGUUGGAUAAAGAUCGCUUUCUUUGUUGUUGUAAAAAGCUAAGCCAUCGGGUUGAAAGCUAAUCAAUCGUAUAGAUAGCAAGUGAUCGAGUAGAAAGCUAAGAGAUCGUUGAAGGUUGAAGAUUGUGAAGGUAUUUAGGAUUUCUUGUAUUUUGAUAUUGCUUGUAGAAUGAUUGAAGACAUAUAUGGCUGUAUUUAUUUAAGUCUUGUAUUAGGAUCUUGUUUUAUGUACUAUCGUAGAAUGUAUAUAUAAACACAAUAUUUAGAUUUCAUUUUGUGUAUACAAAUAAAGAUAAAUAUUAUAGUUUCUAUAAUAAUAUUAAUUUUAUUGAUU
Long non-coding RNA from Cucumis melo (muskmelon), 2819 nucleotides. RefSeq lists it as uncharacterized. NCBI's taxonomy places the organism in Eukaryota, Viridiplantae, Streptophyta, Magnoliopsida, Cucurbitales, Cucurbitaceae. The transcript is spliced from 4 exons. The record is from RefSeq and is a predicted model, not a curated record.